ACAGAGGGGGCGAGCGUUGUUCGGAAUUACUGGGCGUAAAGCGUGCGCAGGCGGUUUCGUAAGUCUGUCGUGAAAUCCCCGGGCUUAACCUGGGAAUGGCGAUGGAGACUGCGAGGCUAGAGUUUGGCAGAGGGGGGUAGAAUUCCACGUGUAGCAGUGAAAUGCGUAGAGAUGUGGAGGAACACCGAUGGCGAAGGCAGCCCCCUGGGUCAAAACUGACGCUGAGGAGCGAAAGCAUGGGGAGCGAACAGGA
This 253-nucleotide ribosomal RNA is filed under the name uncultured prokaryote. Its description in RNAcentral is "partial 16S ribosomal RNA". It matches the Rfam family "Bacterial small subunit ribosomal RNA", at positions 525 to 777 of the family's 1533-position model. The record is from RNAcentral.